GGCUUCAUGAAUCUCAUCUGCAAGAAGAUGAAUCCACUGUGGUUCCUCCUCUUCCUGGUGUCAGCUCCCAGAGGUGUCCUGUCCCAGGUGCAGCUGCAGGAGUCGGGACCCAGCCUGGUGAAGCCCUCACAGACCCUCUCCCUCACCUGCACUGUCUCUGGAUUCUCAUUAAGCAGCUAUGCUGUAUCCUGGGUCCGACAGGCUCCAGGAAAGGGGCUGGAGUCGGUUGGUGUAAUUAGCAGUGGUGGAAGUGCAUAUUAUAACCCAACUCUUAAGUCCCGGCUCAGCAUCACCAGGGACACGUCCAAGAGCCAAGUCUAUUUAUCCCUGAGCAGCCUGACAACUGAAGACACAGCCGUGUAUUACUGUGCAAGAGACACAGUGAGGGGAAGUCAGUGUGUCCUGUCCCAGGUGGUGGUGCAAGUGUUGGGCCCAGGACUAUUGAAGAUCUUCUACCUCACCGGACCUAUUUCUGGAUUCUCCAUCAUAAACAGUGCUGACUGCUGGGACUGGAUCCCUCAGCCCCCAGGGAAAGGGCUGGAGUGA
Non-coding RNA from Mesoplodon densirostris (Blainville's beaked whale), 546 nucleotides. Lineage: Eukaryota; Metazoa; Chordata; Mammalia; Artiodactyla; Ziphiidae. The record is from the annotation of a RefSeq genome assembly.